CAAUGCUUUAUUAACAGUUGGAAACAAACCCAACAAAUUGGAGGUGAUGACAUCCCAGAAGCCCAAGAGGCAAGGGAAACAGGUUUGCAUUUUGUCCCUUUUUUUUAAUUAAAUGCAUCUUAGCAAAAGUAGAUUAAAAAAAGAAAGGGUCAAAGCCCCAGAUGUCAGCAGGGAGGUGCCCCUUGACACACAGGCUCUCGCCACCAGAACCCUGCUGCCCGGCCUCCAGGCCCCCCUGCGGGCGCCCUCAGGUCCCGAAGCUGCCCCUGCUCUCAAGGCUGGAUGGGAGGGCCAAGCCCUCUCCUCCGGGGGCCGGAAGCUGAAAGGCGCACAGGAGGGCAAAAUGUCACCUUGAGCCAGAGAAUCUGAGUUUGCUGCAGCCGUGGCCGCCAAGAAUUUGGCCUGCCCACUGCUGAGAAGAGGGCGGGGGGGGGGGACGCCCUGUGCCCACUCCUCCAGGGGUGUCCAGUUAGCAUUUGCACAUUUGGCUUGAUAAAUAUAUUAAAUUUAUAAAAACUCUGUGGUCUCAGAGCUCCCACUACUCUUAGGCCUGGUCCAACUCAACCCGAGGAGAACUUCCUGCUGCCUCAGUCAGAUGCCGGGAGAGAGUCUACACGGGCCUCAAGGGCCCACAGGCUUGAGGGCCGAGGUGGAUGGUGGUCCAGGGGCUUGUUCAGGCCUGACGCUGUGAGGAGAAUCCCAGGGACCCUGGAACCCGCCAACAAAGCCUCUCACAUCAUGGAGCGGGAAGGGAGACGGAGGAGUUAUUUCUCUUAAAAAAAUUCAUACAAAAAUAGAUCCAUUUGCAAAACAACUUCUCAGCCAGGAGGCUCCAACCCCGUUUCCCUGGAGACAGAGGCCAAGGUGCUGGAAGGGCCAGAGACAGCCCAUCUUCCAGGUGAGCCGCACCAGAGCUUGAGGGAGGCCAGGGCCGGGCAGAGGGUCCCAGGGCACGAGGCAUGGCAGUGGCCGGGGCUGGCCCCGCCUGCCCGCCCUCAGUGGGGCUCUGGCCCAGGCCCCAGGGCACAGAUCAAGUGGCCUAGGCCUUUUCUGUGGGGGAGGUCUUUCCCAAAAGGUGGGGGAAGGGAUCACUCCCCACUUCCGUGGAAGUAGCUCCCGAUGCCAGGCCGCCAGCAAUGAAGGACAGGAGCCCGGGGCGGGAGGAGCAGAGCCGGGGUGACAGCAGUGGGGGGAACCGAGCCCAAAGGCGUCUCAGCCCCGUGCUGCUCUCAGAGCACGGGCUGGCGAGACGGGCGCAGGCCGGAGCCCCCUGGAAAGCGGGCGCCGAGAAAGCAGGUGCCCCUGGCGGAGAGACGGCGCGGAGACCAGGGGCGACACUGGGGCUUAAGGCGGCGGACGCGGAGCCGGCUUUGGUUGGACGAGAG
RNAcentral lists this long non-coding RNA (1385 nucleotides) under Sus scrofa (pig). Its description in RNAcentral is "lncRNA (ENSSSCG00005026357.1)". Lineage: Eukaryota; Metazoa; Chordata; Mammalia; Artiodactyla; Suidae. The record is from RNAcentral.